GAGGGGCUGGGCGCAGAGGGGCGGGGCUUCCCGCGUACCUGAGACGCGCUGCGCCUGCGUCCUCCGCGACUCCGCGCUUGGCAGCCCCUUCUGGGAAGGUGUAAAAUGCCGCCAGGUGGGACCAUCUAGUUGCAGGAAAACAAGCUGAGGGCUCCCACUGAUUCUACAUUAUGGGCAGAGACCACAUCCUGUUUGUUUCUCAACGCUCAGUGCCUGACCUGAAGCCUCAUAUGCAGUGGUGCUGAAUGCAUGCUGGUGACGGAAGAAUGCACACGAAUGACUGAACGCCAGUGGACCUGACCAUGCUGGGCGUCGGCUGCCAACAGCCCACCAGCCGUAUGUCUUCCUGGCCCUGAUCCCACAUGCACUCAGUUUUAAAGAGCCACAGCGGCUACUGUGCUGGACCACGCUGAUAGAGCCCACGUCUACUAGAGCCCAUGUCUGCGAGCCACACCUCUAACACGUUCUCUGUAAAACCACUGGUGGCUGGAGUCACCCAGAGAGGGUGUCAACGCAAAAGAAGCUGUCUCUCCACCAUCGGAUAAUUCCAGGUGUUACACGCCUCAUGCCUCUCACAUCCCAGAAGGAAAAACUCCUUCCUGUCUCUCUCAGGGGUCCUCAGCUGAUGGGUUAUCAGCCAGCAGAAUCAGGAUGCUGAUUUGAAGUCAAGUGUGCUCAGCACUUUAGGGGAGAGCGCCCAAGAUCCUGAAAUGGACCUCCUGAUGCCACACUCUCACUUAGACCUAAAGGAAGAGACUUUUCACUAAACAUUCACACACUAAUUUACUCCACAAGCAUCCAUGGUGCCUCCUGGAUCUGCCUGGCCCCGUGGACCCCAACACCUUUCCUCCUUGUCAGCCCUGCCUUCACCUGCACCUUGGUGGGUCGCCUGCCCUCCCCACUUCAUUCCUGCAUCAGGGUUUGUUCAUCUACACCCUUUCUCCACCUUCACCGAAUGGACCAUCGUGCAGUCAGAAGUAAUACUAAAAGCUGCAAUUCUCUGAGCCUGUGUUAUGUGCCUGACACCUACCUUUUUACUUGUAUUUACUCUCACAUCACCCUGUGAGGUGGGCUCACAAUCCCCAUUUUACAGAUGGGAAAACUGAGUGGAAAGAGCUAAUAAGCACCAAGCCAAGAACUGAGUCCAGGCCUCCCUGCCUGCCUGACUCCAAGUCUACUCCGUGCAGGUCUGACAGAGGUCACACCACCCAGGACCAAGCAGAUUCGGUGGCGGGGAGCUGGCAGACUGGGCUGAGGAGGGAGGACUGAGCUUUUGUUCCUUUUUACUGACCCCACUCCCAUGCUGUCUGCCUCCCAACACUGCAGAUUGCAGACUUGAUCAUCAUCUAUUCAGUUGGCUUCUUUGAACACGUGAGUGGGGAUGGGGGUGUCUAAGACCCAAAAGUGUAAGCUCCUUGAGGACAAGGGCCUCGUGUAGCACGGGGCUUUGUGCACUUCAGUAAAACAUUCAACUGGGUGAGCAGUGGGCCCUCUGGUUCAGGGGAUAUGACCACAAACCCACCAUCCACCUGCAACAGCCCAACACUAACAACCCUGAUCAGUCCCCACCCUACCCCAAAACGACAGCUGUCUGGGAAUCCCAUGAAACCGGCCUUCCCUCCUCUAAACAUGAACAACCUCCAAGAACCUGGUGCCAAGAUAACGGUGGCCUCCACUCCCCCCUGAUGUUGAGCAUGCGCAGCCUCAGCGAAAAAGACUCAGCCCUGUUCUCAGCUGCGAGGACUCCAGCCUCCCCUUUGCCUCCCUCCCACCCAGCUCUGCCCACCCAGCAGAGCCUCCCAGGGGAGCUGGUGAAUAAUGCUUGACCAGAAGCCGCUCCUGCUCAAAUCCACAGUGAAGCCUAUGACAAUAAAUAGUGCCACUAUCGACUGGUGCAUAUUUACAUUUUCCCAGCAGGGAGUGAUGGAUGGCAAUUGUGUCCUGGGAACAACACUGCCUUAGGAAUUUCUGUUCUUUUUCCUGCCUUGAGGGGAAUGAAGGGUGAGGGUUACCAACACAGGAGAAGAAUCACUGGAGGGGCUUGGUGGCGGCAAGUUCCCAAGCCUCUGUGCUUGUGUAAUUUGUGUCCCACACAAUGUGCCUGCCAAGUCCUAUAGAGAGAAACCAGACACAAUCAAGUAGGCCAGGCUGGACUCAGAAGGGCACAAAGGACCCCAUCGUGGGCAUGUGUGGGAAGUAUUCAGGCCGAGAACCAAAAUCCUUGAAGUUCACUCUUUUAAAAACUCCAGCACUUUUACUGAACUAAAGAAUUAACUCAGCCAGGCGCAGUAGCUCAUGCCUGUAAUCCCAGCGCUUUGGGAGGCCAAGGUGGGUGGAUUGCUUGAGUCCAGGAG
Long non-coding RNA from Piliocolobus tephrosceles (Ugandan red Colobus), 2354 nucleotides. RefSeq lists it as uncharacterized. The transcript is spliced from 6 exons. The record is from RefSeq and is a predicted model, not a curated record. NCBI's taxonomy places the organism in Eukaryota, Metazoa, Chordata, Mammalia, Primates, Cercopithecidae.